CCUACGGGAGGCAGCAGUGGGGAAUAUUGCACAAUGGGGGAAACCCUGAUGCAGCGACGCCGCGUGAGUGAAGAAGUAUCUCGGUAUGUAAAGCUCUAUCAGCCGGGAAGAAAAUGACGGUACCUGACUCAGAAGCCCCGGCUAACUACGUGCCAGCAGCCGCGGGAAUACGUAGGGGGCAAGCGUUAUCCGGAUUUACUGGGGGUAAAGGGAGCGUAGACGGCAGCACAAGUCUGGAGUGAAAUGCCGGGGCUUAACCCCGGAACUGCUUUUGAAACUGUGCAGCUAGAGUGCAGGAGAGGUAAGUGGAAUUCCUAGUGUAGCGGUGAAAUGCGUAGAUAUUAGGAGGAACACCAGUGGCGAAGGCGGCUUACUGGACUGUAACUGACGUUGAGGCACGAAAGCGUGGGGAGCAAACAGGAUUAGAUACCCGAGUAGUC
Molecule: ribosomal RNA, 440 nt
Filed under: uncultured bacterium
Lineage: Bacteria
Description: partial 16S ribosomal RNA
Rfam family: Bacterial small subunit ribosomal RNA
Source: RNAcentral